GAUGAACGCUGGCGGCGUGCCUAAUACAUGCAAGUCGAGCGAACAGAUGAGGAGCUUGCUCCUCUGACGUUAGCGGCGGACGGGUGAGUAACACGUGGAUAACCUACCUAUAAGACUGGGAUAACUUCGGGAAACCGGAGCUAAUACCGGAUAAUAUAUUGAACCGCAUGGUUCAAUAGUGAAAGACGGUUUUGCUGUCACUUAUAGAUGGAUCCGCGCCGCAUUAGCUAGUUGGUAAGGUAACGGCUUACCAAGGCAACGAUGCGUAGCCGACCUGAGAGGGUGAUCGGCCACACUGGAACUGAGACACGGUCCAGACUCCUACGGGAGGCAGCAGUAGGGAAUCUUCCGCAAUGGGCGAAAGCCUGACAGAGCAACGCCGCGUGAGUGAUGAAGGUCUUCGGAUCGUAAAACUCUGUUAUUAGGGAAGAACAAAUGUGUAAGUAACUAUGCACGUCUUGACGGUACCUAAUCAGAAAGCCACGGCUAACUACGUG
This 497-nucleotide ribosomal RNA is filed under the name uncultured bacterium. RNAcentral describes it as "partial 16S ribosomal RNA". It matches the Rfam family "Bacterial small subunit ribosomal RNA", at positions 28 to 507 of the family's 1533-position model. The record is from RNAcentral.